RNAcentral lists this ribosomal RNA (465 nucleotides) under Vreelandella stevensii. Its description in RNAcentral is "partial 16S ribosomal RNA". It matches the Rfam family "Bacterial small subunit ribosomal RNA", at positions 338 to 795 of the family's 1533-position model. The record is from RNAcentral. Lineage: Bacteria; Pseudomonadati; Pseudomonadota; Gammaproteobacteria; Oceanospirillales; Halomonadaceae.
CCUACGGGGGGCAGCAGUGGGGAAUAUUGGACAAUGGGGGGAACCCUGAUCCAGCCAUGCCGCGUGUGUGAAGAAGGCCCUCGGGUUGUAAGGCACUUUCAGUGAGGAAGAACGCCUGGUGGUUAAUACCCAUCAGGAAAGACAUCACUCACAGAAGAAGCACCGGCUAACUCCGUGCCAGCAGCCGCGGUAAUACGGAGGGUGCGAGCGUUAAUCGGAAUUACUGGGCGUAAAGCGCGCGUAGGUGGCUUGAUAAGCCGGUUGUGAAAGCCCCGGGCUCAACCUGGGAACGGCAUCCGGAACUGUCAAGCUAGAGUGCAGGAGAGGAAGGUAGAAUUCCCGGUGUAGCGGUGAAAUGCGUAGAGAUCGGGAGGAAUACCAGUGGCGAAGGCGGCCUUCUGGACUGACACUGACACUGAGGUGCGAAAGCGUGGGUAGCAAACAGGAUUAGAUACCCGAGUAGUC